RNAcentral lists this long non-coding RNA (607 nucleotides) under Volvox carteri. Its description in RNAcentral is "long non-coding RNA (VCAR_LNC003785)". Lineage: Eukaryota; Viridiplantae; Chlorophyta; Chlorophyceae; Chlamydomonadales; Volvocaceae. The record is from RNAcentral.
UCCUUAUUCAUGUGUUACAAUCUCAAAUCGUUUCCUCUAUGAGCUUCCACCAGGGCUUCACCCACCAUGUUAUUCAGGUUCCGGGUCCAGGUUUGUCAUUGCCAUUGACACUAGCAAACCAGUGGUUGUCAUCAACCUUGGCUGAUGAAACCUCAACCUUGGUUGUCAUCAACGACAUCAAUAUCCACAGUAUCUAAAUCCAUGUCUCCUUUAGGCAUACACAAGGCAUGCGCUUCCAGGCUCCACCCAUCCCAGCAUCGCAAGUACUGAGUACUACUUAAACCAUGAGUGCUUCUCCUUUUCCUUUUCCAUAAGGACCCUGGUAAGCUCUUCCCAAGCCGCCGAGGGCUGCAAAUCCUUCCGUGCCCUCACCUCAUCCAUCACCUCCUCACUCACAACAGGAAUCAGGUCAUCUGGGGGCAACCCCACCAGGUCAUUCAAGACAAACUUAGGGUUCAGCUCGGCAGCUGUGCUGUUGCCAGUCGCAACCCUGCAUGACUUCCCACCCUUCCCACUGGCACUGGGUGCCUGUGCCCCCUUGCCCUUUGGGGGCACAUGGACAAUGCAAACCCGCUGCAGCACUGUCUCCAGCGGUAUGCAGCCGAAU